GGUUAAGCGACUAAGCGUACACGGUGGAUGCCCUGGCAGUCAGAGGCGAUGAAGGACGUGCUAAUCUGCGAAAAGCGUCGGUAAGGUGAUAUGAACCGUUAUAGCCGGCGAUGUCCGAAUGGGGAAACCCAGUGUGAUUCGUCACACUAUCGUUAACUGAAUACAUAGGUUAACGAGGCGAACCGGGGGAACUGAAACAUCUAAGUACCCCGAGGAAAAGAAAUCAACCGAGAUUCCCCCAGUAGCGGCGAGCGAACGGGGAGCAGCCCAGAGUCUGAAUCAGCUUGUGUGUUAGUGGAACGGUCUGGAAAGUCCGACGGUACAGGGUGAUAGUCCCGUACACCAAAAUGCACAGGCUGUGAACUCGAAGAGUAGGGCGGGACACGUGGUAUCCUGUCUGAAUAUGGGGGGACCAUCCUCCAAGGCUAAAUACUCCUGACUGACCGAUAGUGAACCAGUACCGUGAGGGAAAGGCGAAAAGAACCCCGGCGAGGGGAGUGAAAAAGAACCUGAAACCGUGUACGUACAAGCAGUGGGAGCACCUUCGGGUGUGACUGCGUACCUUUUGUAUAAUGGGUCAGCGACUUAUAUUCUGUAGCAAGGUUAACCGUAUAGGGGAGCCGCAGGGAAACCGAGUCUUAACUGGGCGUUAAGUUGCAGGGUAUAGACCCGAAACCCGGUGAUCUAGCCAUGGGCAGGUUGAAGGUUGGGUAACACUAACUGGAGGACCGAACCGACUAAUGUUGAAAAAUUAGCGGAUGACUUGUGGCUGGGGGUGAAAGGCCAAUCAAACCGGGAGAUAGCUGGUUCUCCCCGAAAGCUAUUUAGGUAGCGCCUCGUGAACUCAUCUUCGGGGGUAGAGCACUGUUUCGGCUAGGGGGUCAUCCCGACUUACCAACCCGAUGCAAACUACGAAUACCGAAGAAUGUUAUCACGGGAGACACACGGCGGGUGCUAACGUCCGUCGUGAAGAGGGAAACAACCCAGACCGCCAGCUAAGGUCCCAAAGUCAUGGUUAAGUGGGAAACGAUGUGGGAAGGCACAGACAGCCAGGAUGUUGGCUUAGAAGCAGCCAUCAUUUAAAGAAAGCGUAAUAGCUCACUGGUCGAGUCGGCCUGCGCGGAAGAUGUAACGGGGCUAAACCAUGCACCGAAGCUGCGGCAGCGACACUAUGUGUUGUUGGGUAGGGGAGCGUUCUGUAAGCCUGCGAAGGUGACCUGUGAGGGUUGCUGGAGGUAUCAGAAGUGCGAAUGCUGACAUAAGUAACGAUAAAGCGGGUGAAAAGCCCGCUCGCCGGAAGACCAAGGGUUCCUGUCCAACGUUAAUCGGGGCAGGGUGAGUCGACCCCUAAGGCGAGGCCGAAAGGCGUAGUCGAUGGGAAACAGGUUAAUAUUCCUGUACUUGGUGUUACUGCGAAGGGGGGACGGAGAAGGCUAUGUUAGCCGGGCGACGGUUGUCCCGGUUUAAGCAUGUAGGCUGAUUAUCCAGGCAAAUCCGGAUAAUCAAGGCUGAGGUGUGAUGACGAGGCACUACGGUGCUGAAGUAACAAAUGCCCUGCUUCCAGGAAAAGCCUCUAAGCAUCAGGUAACAUCAAAUCGUACCCCAAACCGACACAGGUGGUCAGGUAGAGAAUACCAAGGCGCUUGAGAGAACUCGGGUGAAGGAACUAGGCAAAAUGGUGCCGUAACUUCGGGAGAAGGCACGCUGGUGUGUAGGUGAAGUCCCUGCGGAUGGAGCUGAGACCAGUCGAAGAUACCAGCUGGCUGCAACUGUUUAUUAAAAACACAGCACUGUGCAAACACGAAAGUGGACGUAUACGGUGUGACGCCUGCCCGGUGCCGGAAGGUUAAUUGAUGGGGUUAUCCGUAAGGAGAAGCUCUUGAUCGAAGCCCCGGUAAACGGCGGCCGUAACUAUAACGGUCCUAAGGUAGCGAAAUUCCUUGUCGGGUAAGUUCCGACCUGCACGAAUGGCGUAAUGAUGGCCAGGCUGUCUCCACCCGAGACUCAGUGAAAUUGAACUCGCUGUGAAGAUGCAGUGUACCCGCGGCAAGACGGAAAGACCCCGUGAACCUUUACUAUAGCUUGACACUGAACAUUGAGCCUUGAUGUGUAGGAUAGGUGGGAGGCUUUGAAGCGUGGACGCCAGUCUGCGUGGAGCCAACCUUGAAAUACCACCCUUUAAUGUUUGAUGUUCUAACGUUGGCCCCUGACCGGGGUUGCGGACAGUGUCUGGUGGGUAGUUUGACUGGGGCGGUCUCCUCCCAAAGCGUAACGGAGGAGCACGAAGGUUAGCUAAUCCUGGUCGGACAUCAGGAGGUUAGUGCAAUGGCAUAAGCUAGCUUGACUGCGAGCGUGACGGCGCGAGCAGGUGCGAAAGCAGGUCAUAGUGAUCCGGUGGUUCUGAAUGGAAGGGCCAUCGCUCAACGGAUAAAAGGUACUCCGGGGAUAACAGGCUGAUACCGCCCAAGAGUUCAUAUCGACGGCGGUGUUUGGCACCUCGAUGUCGGCUCAUCACAUCCUGGGGCUGAAGUAGGUCCCAAGGGUAUGGCUGUUCGCCAUUUAAAGUGGUACGCGAGCUGGGUUUAGAACGUCGUGAGACAGUUCGGUCCCUAUCUGCCGUGGGCGCUGGAGAAUUGAGGGGGGCUGCUCCUAGUACGAGAGGACCGGAGUGGACGCAUCACUGGUGUUCGGGUUGUCAUGCCAAUGGCACUGCCCGGUAGCUAAAUGCGGAAGAGAUAAGUGCUGAAAGCAUCUAAGCACGAAACUUGCCCCGAGAUGAGUUCUCCCUGAGACUUUAAGUCUCCUGAAGGAACGUUAAAGACGAUGACGUUGAUAGGCCGGGUGUGUAAGCGCAGCGAUGCGUUGAGCUAACCGGUACUAAUGAACCGUGAGGCUUAACCUU
RNAcentral lists this ribosomal RNA (2902 nucleotides) under Klebsiella pneumoniae. RNAcentral's name for it is "23S ribosomal RNA". It matches the Rfam family "Bacterial large subunit ribosomal RNA". Lineage: Bacteria; Pseudomonadati; Pseudomonadota; Gammaproteobacteria; Enterobacterales; Enterobacteriaceae. RNAcentral also lists the same sequence under 1 other name. The record is from RNAcentral.